Suricata suricatta (meerkat) is the source of this 347-nucleotide long non-coding RNA. RefSeq lists it as uncharacterized. The record is from RefSeq and is a predicted model, not a curated record. NCBI's taxonomy places the organism in Eukaryota, Metazoa, Chordata, Mammalia, Carnivora, Herpestidae. The transcript has 3 exons.
GACUCUUCGAGCCUGUAGUAGAAAUCCCAUGAAAUCCCGACUGCUCCUCACGGUCACUGCAACAGAACACAUCCAUUCAGGGUGGGCAUGUCCUCCUUAUGGGUCCAGUACUGGCUCGUCCUGGUAUGUCCUCUAGUGUCCAAGCAGUGGAGCCAUCGCCGAGCAAGCCGAGAAUGUGUCAGGUGGUCUCCUUGAGGCAGGAUGAACCUCCAGCAGAUGUCGGAACGGAAGAAAGAUGGAAGGAAGAAGAAAAUGCAUUGGCUUUGGGGAAGUUUCAUUCAUUAAAGGAAAAUGAAUGAUGAUUAAAAAAAAAGCAAGCCUAUUAAAAGUUUGCAAUGAUUUUUAAU